UACGGAGGGUGCAAGCGUUAUCCGGAUUCACUGGGUUUAAAGGGUGCGUAGGUGGGCAAGUAAGUCAGUGGUGAAAUCUCCGGGCUUAACCCGGAAACUGCCAUUGAUACUAUUUGUCUUGAAUACUGUGGAGGUCAGCGGAAUAUGUCAUGUAGCGGUGAAAUGCUUAGAUAUGACAUAGAACACCAAUUGCGAAGGCAGCUGGCUAAACAAAUAUUGACACUGAGGCACGAAAGCGUGGGGAUCAAACAGG
This 253-nucleotide ribosomal RNA is filed under the name uncultured bacterium. RNAcentral describes it as "partial 16S ribosomal RNA". It matches the Rfam family "Bacterial small subunit ribosomal RNA", at positions 524 to 776 of the family's 1533-position model. The record is from RNAcentral.